GAUGAACGCUGGCGGCGUGCCUAAUACAUGCAAGUCGGGCGAACGGACGAGAAGCUUGCUUUUCUGAUGUUAGCGGCGGACGGGUGAGUAACACGUGGAUAACCUACCUAUAAGACUGGGAUAACUUCGGGAAACCGGAGCUAAUACCGGAUAAUAUUUUGAACCGCAUGGUUCAAAAGUGAAAGACGGUCUUGCUGUCACUUAUAGAUGGAUCCGCGCUGCAUUAGCUAGUUGGUAAGGCAACGGCUUACCAAGGCAACGAUGCAUAGCCGACCUGAGAGGGUGAUCGGCCACACUGGAACUGAGACACGGUCCAGACUCCUACGGGAGGCAGCAGUAGGGAAUCUUCCGCAAUGGGCGAAAGCCUGACGGAGCAACGCCGCGUGAGUGAUGAAGGUCUUCGGAUCGUAAAACUCUGUUAUUAGGGAAGAACAUAUGUGUAAGUAACUGUGCACAUCUUGACGGUACCUAAUCAGAAAGCCACGGCUAACUACGUG
This 497-nucleotide ribosomal RNA is filed under the name uncultured bacterium. RNAcentral's name for it is "partial 16S ribosomal RNA". It matches the Rfam family "Bacterial small subunit ribosomal RNA", at positions 28 to 507 of the family's 1533-position model. The record is from RNAcentral.